RNAcentral lists this long non-coding RNA (14118 nucleotides) under Mytilus galloprovincialis (Mediterranean mussel). The record is from RNAcentral. Lineage: Eukaryota; Metazoa; Mollusca; Bivalvia; Mytilida; Mytilidae.
UUUACGGGUUUCUCAUCAAACGUGAAAAGACGAGAGGUUAGUCCUAGCAAGGAUUUGUAUAGUAUCCUUGGUCCUAUAACAUAUGACUUCACAUUCUUAUUCAAUUUUUAACGUUUUUAUACUGAUAUUUUCAUUUUUUAUUUUUUUUGGUGGCACAUUGAUAGUAAAAAAAAAUAUCAGAACAGUAAAUAGAAAUAGUAAAUAAUGCCCCCGAGGUCAUAUGUUAUAGGACUAGACGAGAGGUAUAACUUUUAUUUUUACCAAGGAUUUGUAUAGUCUAACUAUACAAAUCCUUGUUUUUACCAACACUAGAUAAAGUAAAGAUAUAGCCAGUCACAGUACGUUUCUUUUUGACUAAAGUUUAAAAUAGCAACUUCAGAAAAUGCAGUAUUUUUAAGAAUAACCGACUAAAACGGGAGAGGGAUGUCAACCAAAAGCAUUGCCCGUCAAAAAAGGGGGUUCAAGACACACACACCCUCCCCUGGAGUUCGUCCCUGAUAUUGAGAAUUCUUACCGAUCACGUACAUCACCGUACAUUAGCGCUCUGGUUGUAUAUAAUAAAAACUUGCUGGGAAUACUGCCUAAAUGUACUUUUAUUUAUAUAAAGCAGUGGCGGAUCCAGAGGGGGCGUAGAUAGCGUACGCCCCCCCUUUUGCUUGCACUUUUUUUUUUGUAAAAUGACUGUUAAUCAGACAAGACUUCGUGAAUUUAUCCAUUUCCCGUGUAUUUAAUUUUUAUGCAACAAUUCUUUACUUAUAAAGAUAUUUUUUGCUCGUAUUUAUGUAAUAUAUUUGAUGUCAAUGUCAGUCAUGUGAUUCGCUUGGGUGAAGCUGACCAGUGCGUCGAAAGAAAUCACUCUUAAGUCAUUGUGGAAUUCGCAAGUAACACAUUGCAUAGGCUGAGGAUGACAAGCAUAACACCUUCAAAGCGACAAAAGAUUGAGCCGCAAGAACGUAUUUGACUUCUGUUUCACAAUUCCACCAAACAGAAAAUAAUACUCUAUAUUUCACUCUCUGACAGGAAAAAAAAGUAUACAGCAAUAUUAUUUACACACGAAAGCAUGUUUAACCCCCACGCCCGAGCCUAUUAAUAAUAUAGCUGAAUAAUGUUCCAAAGUCAGUAAGCUCUAGAUAGAUGUAAAGUUUAAGGUACGGACCAUUUGGUUUGAGGAGGCAGUCAGAGAUAUUUGAAACAAAAAGUUCUGAGCAUGAUUUUUGCCUUAAAUAAAAAUGCUGGCCGUAUCUGGAUUGAAAGCAAUAAUCUUUUCAAUUUCCCAAAAACAUUAUUUAGCAUUAAAUUAACAGGAUGAAUAAAAAACGAGCGUAAUUUAUUUGGGGCCGGGGGUUACAUGUACAUCCCAUAUCUGACCGGAAUAUCUGUUUCGCCGAACUGAUAUAUUGAAUGUUUUUUUCAAGGCCCGCCUGCAACCUGUAAGGUGUGGCCUUUAUGACUCCAUUUGUCGUUCGUCAUGCAUAAAUUCAUUGCCAUUUCAGACUAAUUCGUAGCUUUUGGUUGGGUUGGAACCCGUCACUUUCCCUGUUGGGUGAAACAUUUCAACCAUACAUUUGAAUAAAAAUUGUUGUUUGUCUUUCUUUAUUCGUGUAGGUCGUAUUGUAAACAUAUAAUAGCCCGGCGCAUAUCUUAUUAACAAGAAAUCUGUUAGGUUACGCUAACUAAAAAUACAACAGACGAGAAUUUUCCAUGUCCAUUUUUACUUACAAGUCCCACAUAAAAUAUAUUGCUUUGGAUCCAUCCAAUCAUUUUAUGAUCGAAAUUUAAUGGGGAGAAUACGGUAUCAAAAUUUUAAACACUUACAAUUUAACUAUAAAAUAUAUAUGCCCCACGUCAGGAACCAUAAACAAAAGUGCAUCGUUUACACUUAUUUUAUGUUUUUCAACCAAAAAAAGGUCCGAAAAUAUUUCGCCUCGCUACGCUCGGCAAAGUUUCGAUACUUCGCCCCCCUUUCCAAAAUCCUGGAUUUGCCCCUGUAAAGCCCUGUAAAAAGCUCCCCUUGGGAACCGACAAGGAGGGCAAUUACUUAUGUAUUGAUACGCAUGCAAAUUGACUACUCCCCGAUUCCCAAAGUAACUAUUUAAAGCAGCUUUCAUCUACACGAGCGAGCCAAACAAGGUUAAAUCAUAAUGAAGAAGGGCUUGCUUAAUCAAUUAGUACACAACAAAUGGAUGUCAAAAAGUAUGGUUUUCCAAAAAAAAAAAUGCUAUAUUUUCUAGAUAAAAUGACCCUGAAAAAUCACACGCAUAUCUCAAAAUAAGAGUAACAAAAUGCUUUCGCCAUUGGUUUUUCAGUAAAUGAAGACAUUUGUAGUUAUACUAUUCCAAGGUUGAAAAAAUACACCGUUGCAUAUUAAGUAUUCAUUUGCCAACGGAUUGUCGAUUGUUCUUUGUCUUAAAAAUAUUUCCAUUUUUCUUUUGACCAAAUAAUAAUAAAGCAAACUUUGAUAUUGAAAUUUCCGUAGAAUUUGGAAUUUAAAACAAAACCAACAAUCACAGUAUAUGUUGGUUAAAUCAUCAUACAUUUUUUACAUUUUUUUGUAGUAUUUCCAACAAAUACAAGAAAAGUUACAAUUUCCCUUGAAUUUAUUUUACACCAUAUCAAUUUUUAACAAGACUUUCAAUUUUUCUAAAAAUCAUUGUACCAAAGCAUCGUACAAAUUGCUCAAACAACAAUUCUGAUGGGUUAUGGAAGCAUUGUACUUUUUAACCGGAUUUUUGUGACAAAAAUGUUGGUUAUUGAUUUGGGGAUGUACGGCGGGCGGCCGGUCGGGCGGGCGGCAAUCAAAUGUUGUCCGUGCAUUAACUCAUGAACCGUUCAACCAAAGCUUUUAAAAUUUUAAUAUGUUGUUACUGACAACUAAAUGAAGGUCAAGUUCAAUAAUUGCGAUUUUGUAUUUUACCGUUCAGGAGUUAUGGUUCUUGAAAGAUUGAAAAAUAGAGUUUCCAGUCGUGUCCGUGCAUUUACAUAUGAACUGUUCUACCAAACUUCCCAAAUUUUAAUAUGUUGUUACUGAUGACAAAAUGGAGGUCAAGUUCAAUAAUGACGAUUUUGACUUUUACCGUUCAGGAGUUAUGGUUCUUGAAAGAUUGAAAAAUGGUGUUUCCAGUCGUGUCCGUGCAUUUUCUCAUGAACCAUUCAACCAAAGCUUUUGAAAUUUUAGUAUGUUGUUACUGAUGACAAAAUGGAGGUCAAGUUCAAUAAUGACGAUUUUGACUUUUACCGUUUAGGAGUUAUGGUUCUUGAAAGAUUGAAAAAUGGUAUUUCCAGUCGUGUCCGUGCAUUUUCUCAUGAACCAUUCAACCAAAGCUUUUGAAAUUUUUAUAUGUUGUUACAGAUGACAAAAUAGAGGUCAAGUUCAAUAAUGACGAUUUUGAAUUUUACCGUUCAGGAGUUAUGGUUCUUGAAAGAUCGUAAAAUGGCGUUUCCAUUCACGUUGUUGCAUUUACUCAUGAACCAUUCAAUCUAAGCUUUUCAAAUUUUAAUAUGUUGAUACUGAUAACAAAAUGGAGGUCAAAUUUGAUAUUGACGACUUUCACUUUCACUAUUCAUCAGUAAUGGUUCUUGUGAUAUUGCCAGGACACAAAUAAAUGUUAAUAAAUCCGGUUUGCUGUCGUUGUGACAGCCUCUUGUUUAAAGAUAGUAUAAGGACAGAUAUGAAUUAUUUCAAUAAGGGUAACGAUUGGUUGUUUUUCGAUCCAAAUUUAAAAAACAAAACACGUGCAUUUUUUGUAAUUCUGUGCAAAAAUUGCCUACAGAUUGUCAUGAAUUUUUGUAUGUCAAAUGAAUUCAAAGUUUAAACAUAUUUGAUUUGCUCAAAGCAAAAAAGGAUCAGACAGCAGUAAAACAUACUUAUAAAGUCUUCUCCACAAUGCAGUUUAUAUAAUAUUAUACAAAUUGAACGCGAGCAUGCAUCAUAUAAUAUAAACAACAUAUAUAUUACUAAACAAUAAUGAAAAAAGGAGAGAAAAUGAGAAAAGAACGACAGAGGUUAGGAUGAUGAUGAUGAUGAUGAUAAUGAUAAUGAUGAUGAUGUGCGUUUUACUAAUUUUACCUAUGUUGAUACUAUACUACUAGGAAUCGUUUUGAUCUCCUUAUAGAAUUGAAUACUUGUUCAAAAAUUUGCACAUUUUGAUCAUAUUACUGAGUUUCUUUUCAAAAAACCAAUAGUUUUAAGUCCAAAUCGCAGUCUUCGGGGUGUCAGCUGAGACUAUUAAACAGAAUAUCUCUUUCAUUUAGAUAGAAAGGGCAAUCAAAGAAAAAAUGCUGCAUGUCCUAAAUAUCUAAAGAACAUUACAUGUUGGAUCAGAUAUAAUAUUAGCUCUUAACAAGGAGGUCAUAUAACCUCCUAGCUCUUAACAAGGAGGACAUAUAACCUCCUAGCUCUUAACAAGGAGGUCAUAUGACCUCCUAGCUCUUAACAAGGAGGUCAUAUGACCUCCUAGCUCUUAACAAGGAGGUCAUAUGACCUCCUAGCUCCUUAACAAGGAGGUCAUAUGACCUCCUAGCUCUUAACAAGGAGGUCAUAUAACCUCCUAGCUCUAAACAAGUCAUAUAACCUCCUGGCUCUAAACAAGUCAUAUAACCUCCUAGCUCUAAACAAGUCAUAUAACCUCCUAGCUCUAAACAAGUCAUAUAACCUCCUAGCUCUAAACAAUGUCAUAACCUCCUAGCUCUUAACAAGUCAUAUAACCUCCUAGAUCUUAACAAGUCAUAUAACCUCCUAGCUCUUAACAAGUCAUAUAACCUCCUAGCUCUAUACAAGUCAUAUAACCUCAUAGCUCUAAACAAGUCAUAUAACCUCAUAGCUCUAAACAAGUCAUAUAACCUAGCUCUUAACAAGAAGGUCAUAUAACCUCCUAGAUCUAAACAAGGAGGUCAUAUAACCUCCUAGCUCUCAACAAGGAGGUCAUAUAAACUCCUAGCUCUUAACAAGUCACAAUUCAAGACUAAUGACUACCAUUUAAAUAGGGUUAAUAUUAUAUUCAAUUUUCUUGGACCAUAUAAAUGAUGUUGAGAUUGAUUCUCAUUUAGAAUGUCGUGGUUUUUAUGCCCCACCUACGAUAGUAGAGGGGCAUUAUGUUUUCUGGUCUGUGCCUCCGUUCGUUCGUCCGUUCGUCCGUUCGUUCGUUCGUCCGUUCGUUCGACUUCAGGUUAAAGUUUUUGGUCAAGGUAGUUUUUGAUGAAGUUGAAGUCCAAUCCACUUGAAAUUUAGUACACAUGUUCCCCAUGAUAUGAUCUUUCUAAUUUUAAUGCCAAAUUAUAGUUUUGACCCCAAUUUCAUGGUCAACUGAACAUAGAAAAUGAAAGUGCGAAGUUCAGGUUAAAGUUUUUGGUCAAGGUAGUUUUUGAUGAAGUUAAAGUCACAACUACUUGAAACUUAGUACACAUGUUUCCUAUGAUAUGAUCUUUCUAAUUUUAAUUCCAAAUUAAAGUUUUGACCCCAAUUUCACGGUCCACUGAACAUGGAAAAUUAUAGUGCGAGUGGGGCAUCCGUGUACUAUGGACACAUUCUUGUUUAAUUCUUCUUUGAAUUAAAAUCUGUGAAGUAUACGAUUUAAUUUGUUUUCGUUUACAUAUUCCAAAUUGUUUUUAAACUUUAAAACUGGAUUUGAUACAGCGAGUGAAAUAGAUACAGGUAAAAACUGACACUUCCUCUUUUAUACUUAGGACGAGCGUGGAAGUAUUAUAUUGACAAUAUAAUACUUCCAUGGAACGAGCGGUUCAUUCAACCUAUGCCAACAUUUUGAAAUUUAGGUAUAAAAUUGUGUGAAAAAAUGUUGGCAUAGGUUGAAUAAUUUGUUACAGAUUAAGUGUUAUAUAAACAUAAAUUAAUUAGGGGCUAAACAAUCUACAACCAGUUUAAACCUAGCAUUAAAGUAUUAUCAAUAUACAAUUUCUUUAACAAGUACUAGUACUAGUGAAAAUGGAAGUAAUUGUUUGUGUUGACUGUUGAGGAUCUCUAUUUCAUAAAGGAAUUAGUUUAAAAUUGAUAUAAUGAAAUAAAGGGGGGAGGAUGUUAGGAUUUUUUUUUUACUUAAGGAACAAUCAUCUAGUCAUAUUAAAUAUCUAUCAGUGUCAUUUUCAUAAAUAUUAUAAAAAUAUAUGAUAAAAAUAAUAAAUUUUAUGUAAAAUAGAUUCCUUCAGAUACAAUGACAUAUAACACUAUUGAAACUCGUGUAUUUCAUAAAUACUAACUCAUGUAAAAUAUCUAUUUUAAAUGUUCACUAUUAAUUCCAACACCUACAGAGAUCUACAGAGAUUUAGACAAAUUUCAGUAAUAUGGUUGUCUCAAAAGUCAUACUAGUAUAAGAUUUGAUGCUGCAUCUGCACAAUUAACUGGUGUCAUGUUGUCCUUGGGUCUCUUGUGCCAGUUUUACAGAAUUAGCUCAGGAGUAAGACAUGUCUUCGGAUGGUUUUACGGCGUAUUAAUUAUUGUCCUUAGUGGGUUUCAAAAAGUGGUAUUAAGUUUGGACAUCUUUUAAAGUUGGUCACAAAGCAAUGACUACACAAUAUUUUUUUUAUAUAAAUUACAAUUAUUUUUAUAAGACUACAAACAAAAUUUGCGAUCAUAUUGUGGUAUCAUGUUGUCGUUGUCGUCCGCGUCAUCUGAAGACAGUUGGUUUCCCGACAAAUACAGUGCACUUUAGUACAAGAAAAUAGAAAUCUAUGAAAUUUAAACACAAGGUUUAUAACCUUGAAAGGAAAGUUUAGAUUGUUUUUGGGGGUUAUGGUCCCAACAGUUUUGGAAUUAAGGGCCAAAAAAAGGGACCUAAGUAAGCAUUUUAGUAGUUUCCAGACAAGGACUUGUGUUAAGUGUAUGAAUCUCUCUGUAAUUAUAACACAAGCUUCCAUACCACAAAGGAAUGGUUAGGAUUGACUGUGGGGGUUAUAGCUCCAACCAUUUAGGAAUCAGGGGCAAAAAAUGGGGAAAACAAGGGUUUCCUGGUUAAUGAACUAAAACAAAGUAAAUAAAUCGUGCACUAAUCCACUGGAAAGUUGUUGCCUCAAAAUGAACCAAAAAUGUUUUUCUUAUAUUUACUUCAAAUUCUAUAUAUAACAAAAUGAAUUUGAAAUAAAGAAAGUUUCUGUUGAAGUAUGUUUUAUUUGUAUAUUUUGUUGCUUGUUGAAGUAUGCUUCAUAUUUAAUACAACAAAAUUAAUUUUAAUUUUUAUAUUGCACAAAUGAAAUAGCUUUUUUUUCAAUUAUUGUUAUAUUUAAGUGUUUAAUUUUAGACCUAAUAAUCUAAACCUUUUUUACCAUUUUAUGUCGUAUUUGCAUUUUCUUUUAUGAAUGAUUUUAAUGCUAGAUACAUGAUGUACAGCUUUGUAUACCACUUGAUCAAAGGUAAACAAAUGUAUGGUGUAUGCUUUUGUAACAUUUACCUAUAUAUUUUUUAUACAAAAUUAAUGUCUAUCGAGUUUUUUAAUCUUUAUAGAACAGAGAACAAAAAAAAGCGCUUUACGUUUCCAUCCCAAGAGACGGUGUCACCUGUUUCAGUUAACAUUAGAAAAACAUAAUAGUUUGAAUGCUGAUCGUUAAUUGUGCAAAUUUGAAAAUUAAUAGUCAAUUAGAUAUCAUUCAAUACUCUGUUACAAUGUCAAUGGAACAAACUAAAUGCGAUUUCCUUAAAUUAUGUAUAAAUUCUACAAUUUCGUUUUUUUUGUUCUGUAACAGUGAAAAGAGUUUGGUAAAUGCUUUUAUGUAAAACUUCAGGUUUCAUCGAAAAGUUAUACCGGGAAUAAACAUUUCCUGCAUACAAUUUUUUUCAUUGUCAUAUUUUUUUUUUUCAAAUUAAGAGGUAUAGAAAUGUUAGAUUUUAAUCUACAAUUUCAGUAAAAAAAAUCAUCUGUUAAUCAUUAAUUUAAUUGAAAAUUUAGAUGAGGUUUCUAGAGAGAUACAUACAUAUUAAAAUUGAGAACAAGUGCUGAAAGGACACCUUUUAACUUUUUGGAUAUUUUUUUCGUUGUAAUAUAAGUUUAUUUAGAGGGUUGAGAUCUCAUAAACAUGUUUAACCCCGCCGCAUUUUUGCGCCUGUCCCAAGUCAGGAGCCUCUGGCCUUUGUUAGUCUUGUAUUAUUUUAAUUUUAGUUUCUUGUGUACAAUUUGGAAAUUAGUAUGGCGUUCAUUAUCACUGAACUAGUAUAUAUUUGUUUAGGGGGGCAACUGAAGGACGCCUCCGGGUGCGGGAAUUUCUCGCUACAUUGAAGACCUGUUGGCGACCUUCUGCUGUUGUUUUUUCUAUGGUCUUGUUGUUGUCUCUUUGACACAUUCCCCAUUUCCAUUCUCAAUUUUAUUAUUUGGUUAUGAUUGAUGAAUUUUACAUUGUCAUUUCGGGGCCUUUUAAUAAUCACUGUGCUUAAACGGCUGUGGGUAACUUAAGUUACCCACAGCCCAAGAUGGAGCCGCCUUGCGUCGGUUAGAUACUUUUCUUCUAUAGAAUAACAAUACCACGAAUGCAUCAAUUAAACAACUGAAUUUAAAAGUUGUAUUAAUCGUUUAGGGAAACCCCUAAACUGGAAAAGUGAUUAAAUUCUACAAAAUAAACGAUCACAGCACGAUUUUAAAAAACACUUGGGCUGUCCGUAACUUCAAAACAACUUGUCCGUAACUUUUUUCAUCAUACCAAUAGAGAUGUCCGUAACUUUCAAAGAAUCGACAUACGCGGAUGUAAUGUUUAAACUGAUGAUAGAGAUUUCAUCGAAUACAUAUUCACAAAACGAAGUAGAUGUCUAGUAUGAUUAAUUCAUUGUAUCGAUGGAAGACAAAAUUGGGAAAAAUAUGAAAAAAAUCACGACAAGUCCCCAAAAUUCGGAUCUCAUUGUGUAUAACGUCGGGGUACCCGAAUCGCCUAAUUCGGAGGGUUGUUUCCGAUCAUAGCAGAUAACCUGUUGACACAUCAUUGUUCGUUUUUAUUUUUGAACAAGAAGACUACACAAGUAUUUUUUACACAUACAUGUAGCAUGUAUACACUUACUGAUUUUCUGCCAGCAACGACAAGGGUAGCGUGAAUCCGGGAUUUUGGAGGGGAACCAAAAUUGCCCAGGCAUGCAGUGUAUAGACUAUACGAGACUUAAGUGCAUUUUUCCUUCUUUUUGAAAAGCCAAAAAACUUUUCUCGCAUCUCCACAAAAACAAAUCCCAUUAGCAUUGACAGUAAAAUAAAAGGGGUGUCAAUCUGGACACACUGGGACGUUGCGCACGGUGAUAUUGCGGCACCCAGGCCAAGAUUUACAGUAAAUGGGGAAAAAAGGACAUUUUGUAUAAAUGAAUAAACCUAGUUUUACAGCUAGCUGCAAUUUUCAUUGUAUGCAAGUUGCAUUAAAUCUCAUUAAACUGAAUAAAACUAAAGACACAAUAGGUAAAAGUCAGUGACAAUAAAAGGAAAAGAGCAGUCAACAAGGUUAACAUUCGACAUAGUAUAUAAAAAAUAAAAUAACUACAUAGAACAACAGGGGUAAUUAAUAGUCUAACAACCUCUGAUAAUAUACAAAGAGAGAAGAAAAAAACAUACUAGGAAACAUAUUCAAAAAAUCAUAACACUAUAACUAACUGGUGGGAUGUAUAAAUACCGAGCCGCGUCAAAGAGUAUUCAUCAAAAUACACAUAGAAGGAAACAGAGGUGAAGGUAAACCGCAAACAUAUAAUUAAACUCAAAACAUUAAAGAGUAUGGAAAAGCCCUGGUCUUACAAGCGAAAACGUCGAUAAGACGCACAUCAGCAAAUAAAAGUUCAAACCAUUAUAACCAGGAUGGAGUACCACAAACCCCACAUAAAACUUCUGUGGUGUAAGUAUGAUGCGUUAAUAAAAUCCCAUUUGGUGGUGAAUGAGUAGUAUAAACGGCCGCGAAGGUUACAAAUGUGAUGUUAAUUGUCUUCUAAUUGUUGUAAUUAUAAUUCUUAAAAUUUUAAAUCAAAAGUUACCCACAUCUAAAAAUAAAGUUACGGACAGUCUGCUUAGUUUCGAUCAAAAAGUUACGGACAUCUUAUGCAUAUUUUAAAGUUGACCUUGCGCUUUAGUGAACUCUAUAUUAACAAAUUUAUGGUAAUUGUUAGUCAUUUCUUUAUUCAGUAAUCCUAUAAAUAUUUACAUUCUGCAUGAAAAACGUCGCAAAAGGUACAUUUUGUAUGAAUUAGAUAUCAACGUGUUUAGAGUCCGCCAUCUUGGGCUGUGGGUAACUUAAGUUACCCACAGCCGUUUAAGCACAGUGAUAAUAGAAGGAGAAACACAACAGGUAACCAUCGACCGUUUUCCUUGGCUUAGUUCUAUAGCAGUAAAUGUUGUCAAAACACUAUUCACCUCAGAAAAAAGUCGCUCGCAGAUCUGCAUGUUCGUUUCUCACUUAUUAAAUGUGUCGUCAAUAUUUGCUAAUGCCCUCUUUUUUUAUUUCUAGGCUAUGCAUACAUGAUUUGAUUUCAUCCCUGGCUUCCGAGGUUCAUACAAAAUGUACUUCGGUCAACGCUUUGAAACCCCAAUGAAGUUACAAAAAAAAGCAUUCAAUUUUUAAGUAAAAUCCUUUUCAACUGAUUUUUGUAUUUUGUUCAUGUGUUGUUAUUAUAAAUCCCGUCCCAGGAUAGGAGGAGCUGGGCGCCCACAAAACCCACCGUAUUUGUAAUGUGCAUGUCCCAAGUCAGGACCCUAUACUUCAGUGGUUGUCGACUCGUAUGUUGUGGUCGAUGCCAUUGCUUGUGGAGUUUUAAUUCCCCGAGGGUUUCACCAGACCAGUAGUCAGCACUUGUGUGCUAACUGACAUGAAUUAUCUUUGGUAUGGUCAUAUUUUUAAAUUAACUAUUUACAAAACUUUUGAAUUUUUGAAAUACUAAGGCUUUUCUACCUCAGGAAUAAAUGUACCUUAGCUGUAUUUGGCAAACCUUUUAGGAAUUUUGGUCCUCAAUGCUCUUCAAAUUUGUACUUUAUUUGGCCUUUUUAACUUUUUUGGAUUCGAGCGUCCCUGCUGAGUCUUUUAAAGACGAAACCGCGUCUGGCGUAAAUACAAAAUUUAAUCCUGGUAUCUAUGAUGAGUUUAUUGUAUAAUAUAGUUGUUUUUCGUUUAUUAUUUUGUAUAUAUCAAGCAGUUUGUUUCCUCGUUUGAUUUUUUUACGUUUGUUAUGUAGAUAAAAAUGCAAUGAAGAACUAUACGAGUCCUAUAGAAAUUAUUUUUGUUGAAGGAGAGAAAACUGCAUACCGAAUGGUGUUGCAAAAAAAAAGGUUGUGUUAGGAAUAAAUAUUAUGUCUAAUUUCCCAGAUUUCCUGUGUUAAUAAGGAUUGGAAAGAUACCUGAACGAACUGCCAGAAUUGAUGAUGCUUACAUAGAUGAUUGACAAUUAAGGUGACAUUUUAAAUAAUACUGAGAUGGACCAUGCAUGUUAGAGAGCAAAUUGAUGAACUUGUUACACGCAUGAUCGUACAAUACACUUUGAUUUAAAGUGAUGGAGCAGUAAAAUGUAAACAGUAUAUAUUAUUAUUGAUAAAUCUAGACUAGCACUGACCGGAAAGUUGCUUGUUAAGUUGAGGUGUUCAUUUUGUGCAGGGGCAUUACUCUGGAACUAUUACAAUCAUGACAGGCAACUCAAGUUAUAGGACAAAAUGACAAAUUUUGCACUUAUUUUAAUUCAUAAAGUUUAACAACUCUGGAACCGUUGUUUGUUAUAUAUUACUUAAAUCAGACAUGACCGAUGUUACCAGGAUCUGGGCGCUGUGUAUGAAUUUCAAUACAGAUGGCGAAGCAAAUUGAAUAACAGAAAGAAAAAAGAUGUUGGGGAAGGGAGGAAGCAAAUUUUUCCUAUAAUACAUUGGUGGCUUCUGUUUUGCUGAAAGCUUUCUGAUUUAAAGAAGUCAUGCCUAUAGCUUUUUCAACAGCUCAGAGGUACAAAAAAACUUUUGGUUACACUUCAAGAUCAAGAAUAUUGAAUAUUUUGCCUAUUUUUCUUUUCAUUUGGAACGAAGGAUGAUAUAACGGAUGGGGUUAACAACCUUUUUUAAAAAGUCAAUGCUUCCUGAAUUUACUGUAUUUGAAGAGGAAGUUCAUUCAUUGUAUAUAUAUGUCUGUCAAUUUCCAUUUUUGUAUUUGUGAAAACGGUUCGAAUUUCGUCAAAUUACAUUAAAUAUAUGUUUUAUAAAACGGUUCGAAUUUCGUCAAAUUACAUAAAAUAUAUGUUUUAUAAUAUAAAAAAGAAGAUUUGGUAUGAUUGCCAAUGAGACAACUAUCCACAAAAUACCAAAAUGACACAUACAUUAACAACUAUAGGUCACCGUACGGCCUUCAACAAUGAGCAUAGCCCAUACCACAUAGUCAGCUAUAAAAGGCCCCGAUAAGACAAUGUAAAACAAUUCAAACGAGAAAACUAACGGCCUUUUUAUGUAAAAAAAAAAAAAAAAAUGAACGAAAAACAAAUAUGUAACACAUAAAUAAACGAGAACCACUGAAUUACAGGCUCCUGACUUGGGACAGGCACAUACAUAAAUAAUGUGGCGAGGUUAAACAUGUUAGCGGGAUCCCAACCCUCCCCCUAACCUGGGACAGUGGUUUAACAGUACAACAUAAGAACGAACUAUAAAAAUCAGUUGAAAAAGGCUUAACUCAUCAGAUGGACAAAAAUACAAGUGGACGUGAACGGUUCGAAUUUCGUCAAAUUACAUUAAAUAUAUGUUUUAUAAAACGGUUCGAAUUUCGUCAAAUGACAUUAAAUAUAUGUUUUAUAUUUCCUGGAUAAGGUCUAACCACAAAAAUUCAGUAUCCAAUCAAAUAAAUAUUGAACAUAUUUUACAAUUCUCUCAGAGAAAGUUACAGAUCCAUUAAAUUAAGUAUAUGAAAAAUAGCAACUUUUGUCCAACAUCUUAGAUAUAUACCCACAAAACAAAAUACUCUCAGUCAUGAAUUCUCAGAUAGAGCCCCCAUGAGUGGAACUUUAAAAAAAAAUAUUCGUGUUAUGUCAGUAAACCACUGUAGCAUUAUUCCAUGCAAAGCCUAUUAUUAAUGUCUCAUUUUGAUCAAAUUAUUAAGAGUAAUUCUCUGUAAGCACAAAAAUGACAAGGAAAUGGUAUGUCAUGAAAUCAGACAAAACUUGACUCAAUGGUGCAUUAUAGGCAUAAAACAUUAUUUAUAUAAAAAAUAUGUGUUGCUAUGGUAACACAUCAUAUUUAAAAAGAUUUUUUCGAUUCAAUAACUUUUAAACAAUUUUAACAUAACAAGGAAGUAGUUGUAGUGUGUUUAAUCCUUUUAAUUCUUCAGUCAAACAUACACCAUUAUUAAUUUAAAUUAUUUGUUUGACGGCUACUAUAAUUUACCAUCAAAAGCACAAUGGCAUUACGUAACUAAGGAGUACGCCGCCAUCUUGACUUUCUAAAAACCAUAAAUGUCCAGUAAAUGCAACAGAAUCUAAAAUGAAUUAGCACCUACCUCAAAACCUUCAUUUUAAUUAGAUAUUAUCUGAAUUUGAAGCGUACACGUAACGAAAUAAUCUUUUCCUUAAAAUUUUCAUUCGUGUGACGUACAUCAUGUUUUACCAUGACGUAAAUUCGCUAAAUCCUUCAUGAAAUUUCACGGAAUUGUAAUAAAAUUUUAUUUUUAUACAUUUUUAAAGCGUUUGGGCUUUUUUAUUGUUUUUUUGUUAAAUAUUCAUUACAAUAGAAACAACUGUUAUGCAAUUGUUUUAUAAUCUCAAUUUGCUGAAAAUCCCAGUAUCCUUGCAAGAAUGUGUACCACGCAUGAAUAGAUUACGAAAGUAGUUGUUUAUCGAAGUGUAAACCAAGAGAAAACUUCUAAUUGACCAAUCCAAUUCAAGUAUUUAUAGAUAUGCAAAUGAUAUUAGAAUUAUUGUAUGAUUCAAACAGGUUUUUUAAGAAAUUUAUUGGUGCAUAUAUACUAGAUUAAAUCACAAAUUAGCACAUACAAGUCUGAAUAUGUGAGUGAAAGUUUUGGUUUUUUUUUCUUUGUAGGAUGUCUUAUUUCAAACAUAUCUACAGUAGAGUCAAUACAACUCCAAGUGAUAGACGAUUCAGUUCACAUACAUUUCCAUCAACUGAAACAGAAGAUAAAUGUACCUGAAACAGAUUCAGAAGAUGUUUUGGUUUGCUCAACUGAGGGUUGCACAAAAACAUUUGCAAG